Molecule: ribosomal RNA, 578 nt
Filed under: uncultured microorganism
Description: bacterial SSU rRNA
Rfam family: Bacterial small subunit ribosomal RNA
Source: RNAcentral
CACAANNGNUGGAUGAUNUGNUUUAAUUNGAUNCAACGNGAAAAACCUUACCUACCCUUGACAUGCCAGGAAUCCUGCAGAGAUGUGGGAGUGCUCGAAAGAGAGCCUGGACACAGGUGCUGCAUGGCUGUCGUCAGCUCGUGUCGUGAGAUGUUGGGUUAAGUCCCGCAACGAGCGCAACCCUUGCCAUUAGUUGCUACGAAAGGGCACUCUAAUGGGACUGCCGGUGACAAACCGGAGGAAGGUGGGGAUGACGUCAAGUCCUCAUGGCCCUUAUGGGUAGGGCUACACACGUCAUACAAUGGCCGGUACAGAGGGCUGCCAACCCGCGAGGGGGAGCCAAUCCCAGAAAACCGGUCGUAGUCCGGAUCGCAGUCUGCAACUCGACUGCGUGAAGUCGGAAUCGCUAGUAAUCGCGGAUCAGCUUGCCGCGGUGAAUACGUUCCCGGGUCUUGUACACACCGCCCGUCACACCAUGGGAGCGGGUUCUGCCAGAAGUAGUUAGCCUAACCGCAAGGAGGGCGAUUACCACGGCAGGGUUCGUGACUGGGGUGAAGUCGUAACAAGGUAACCAAUCG